This 241-nucleotide long non-coding RNA is filed under the name Cavia porcellus (domestic guinea pig). RNAcentral's name for it is "lncRNA (ENSCPOG00000035558.1)". The record is from RNAcentral. Lineage: Eukaryota; Metazoa; Chordata; Mammalia; Rodentia; Caviidae.
CGGGCCCUUAUGCAGAAGCCUCACACAUCCUCAGCUCCUGAUCUUCUGUGUCUCAGCCUGUGCUCCUCAGCGCAGUGGAGAGUGAAAAUGAGACAGCUGCUGCUCAGGCUGAUGCAGGUGAUGCACCUUGGGGACCAGACAUCACUGUGAGCAAAGCAAGCAUCGUCACCUGAUAUGAGGCAAGAGCUGUGUCUUGGGCAGUUUGGGCCUGAUUUCCUUUCUCUACUUCUGGGGUUUGCAG